AUUGAACGCUGGCGGCAUGCUUUACACAUGCAAGUCGAACGGUAACAGGCCGCAAGGUGCUGACGAGUGGCGAGCGGGUGAGUAAUGCAUCGGAACGUGCCCAGUCGUGGGGGAUAACGCAGCGAAAGCUGCGCUAAUACCACAUACGAUCUAUGGAUGAAAGCGGGGGACCGUAAGGCCUCGCGCGAUUGGAGCGGCCGAUGUCAGAUUAGGUAGUUGGUGAGGUAAAGGCUCACCAAGCCAACGAUCUGUAGCUGGUCUGAGAGGACGACCAGCCACACUGGGACUGAGACACGGCCCAGACUCCUACGGGAGGUAGCAGUGGGGAAUUUUGGACAAUGGGCGCAAGCCUGAUCCAGCAAUGCCGCGUGCAGGAAGAAGGCCUUCGGGUUGUAAACUGCUUUUGUACGGAACGAAACGGUCCGGGUUAAUACCCUGGGCUAAUGACGGUACCGUAAGAAUAAGCACCGGCUAACUACGUGCCAGCCGCCGCGGUAA
Molecule: ribosomal RNA, 498 nt
Filed under: uncultured bacterium
Lineage: Bacteria
Description: partial 16S ribosomal RNA
Rfam family: Bacterial small subunit ribosomal RNA
Source: RNAcentral